RNAcentral lists this ribosomal RNA (459 nucleotides) under Ivela auripes. Its description in RNAcentral is "partial large subunit ribosomal RNA". It matches the Rfam family "Archaeal large subunit ribosomal RNA", at positions 1952 to 2643 of the family's 2987-position model. Lineage: Eukaryota; Metazoa; Arthropoda; Insecta; Lepidoptera; Erebidae. The record is from RNAcentral.
UGCCCACUGAUAAUUUAUUAAAGGGCUGCAGUAAUUUGACUGUACAAAGGUAGCAUAAUCAUUAGUCAUUUAAUUGAUGACUUGUAUGAAGGAUUGGAUGAGAUAUAAACUGUCUUAAAUUUAAAUUAUAGAAUUUAAUUUUUUAGUUAAAAAGCUAAAAUAAUUUAAAAAGACGAGAAGACCCUAUAGAGUUUAAUUUUAAAAUAUCUAAGAAUUUUUUGUAAAUUUAAAGGUUUAUAUUUAUGGAAAAUUUUAUUGGGGUGAUAGAAAAAUUAAAAUAACUUUUUUUAAAAAUUAAACAUAAAUAAAUGGUUAUAUGAUCCAAUUUUAUUGAUUAAAAGAAAAAAUUACCUUAGGGAUAACAGCGUAAUUUUAAUUUUUAGUUCAUAUAAAAAUUAGAGUUUGCGACCUCGAUGUUGGAUUAAGAUAAAAUUUAAAUGCAGAAGUUUAAAAUUUUGA